Molecule: ribosomal RNA, 415 nt
Filed under: uncultured bacterium
Lineage: Bacteria
Description: bacterial SSU rRNA
Rfam family: Bacterial small subunit ribosomal RNA
Source: RNAcentral
UGAGGAAUAUUGGGCAAUGCCCGCAAGGGUGACCCAGCAACGCCGCGUGGAGGAUGAAUGUCGUAAGAUUGUAAACUCCUGUUAGAGGGGAAGAAUAGUACCGGUUGGACCGGUAUAUGACUGUACCCUCAGAGAAAGCCCCGGCUAACUACGUGCCAGCAGCCGCGGUAAUACGUAGGGGGCAAGCGUUGUCCGGAUUUACUGGGUGUAAAGGGCGCGCAGGCGGGAUAAAAAGUCAGUGGUGAAAUCCUACAGCUUAACUGUAGAACUGCCUUUGAUACUUUUAUUCUUGAGUUCGGGAGAGAGAGACGGAAUUCCAGGUGUAGUGGUGAAAUACGUAGAUAUCUGGAAGAACACCGGUUCCGAAGGCGGUCUCUUGGUCCGACACUGACGCUGAGGCGCGAAAGCGUGGGGA